RNAcentral lists this ribosomal RNA (460 nucleotides) under uncultured bacterium. RNAcentral's name for it is "partial 16S ribosomal RNA". It matches the Rfam family "Bacterial small subunit ribosomal RNA", at positions 338 to 795 of the family's 1533-position model. The record is from RNAcentral.
CCUACGGGAGGCAGCAGUGAGGAAUAUUGGUCAAUGGACGAGAGUCUGAACCAGCCAAGUAGCGUGAAGGAUGACUGCCCUAUGGGUUGUAAACUUCUUUUAUAAAGGAAUAAAACGAGGCACGUGUGCCUUUUUGCAUGUACUUUAUGAAUAAGGAUCGGCUAACUCCGCGCCAGCAGCCGCGGUAAUACGGAGGAUCCGAGCGUUAUCCGGAUUUAGUGGGUUUAAAGGGAGAGGAGAUGGGUUGGUAAGUCCGUUGUGAAAGUUUGCGGCUCAACCGUAAAAGUGCAAUUGAUACUGGCAGUCUUGAGUACAGUUGAGGUAGGCGGAAUUCGUGGUGUAGCGGUGAAAUGCUUAGAUAGCACGAAGAACCCCGAUUGCGAAGGCAGCUUACUAAACUGUGACUGACGUUGAUGCUCGAAAGUGUGGGUAUCAAACAGGAUUAGAUACCCCAGUAGUC